Molecule: ribosomal RNA, 251 nt
Filed under: uncultured prokaryote
Description: partial 16S rRNA
Rfam family: Bacterial small subunit ribosomal RNA
Source: RNAcentral
ACGGAGGAUGCGAGCGUUAUCCGGAAUCAUUGGGUUUAAAGGGUGCGUAGGCGGACUAUUAAGUCAGUGGUGAAAUCCUCCAGCUUAACUUCAGAACUGCCAUUGAUACUGGUAGCCUUGAGUUUGGUAAAGGUAGGUAGAAUUCGUAAUGUAGCGGUGAAAUGCUUAGAGAUUUGGAAGAACACCGGUGGCGUAGGCAGCUUACUGGGCCAACACUGACGCUGAGGCGCGAAAGCGUGGGGAGCAAACAG